AGAGUUUGAUCCUGGCUCAGGAUGAACGCUAGCGGGAGGCUUAACACAUGCAAGUCGAGGGGUAAGGCACUUUCGGGUGUACACGACCGGCGCACGGGUGAGUAACGCGUAUGCAACCUGCCAUUAACAGGGAGAUAGCCCAGAGAAAUUUGGAUUAAUAUCCCAUAAUAUUCAGAAACCGCAUGGUUUCUGUAUUAAAGCUCAGGCGGUUAAUGAUGGGCAUGCGUGACAUUAGUUUGUUGGUAAGGUAACGGCUUACCAAGACUACGAUGUCUAGGGGGUCUUAAAGGAUGGUCCCCCACACUGGUACUGAGACACGGACCAGACUCCUACGGGAGGCAGCAGUGAGGAAUAUUGGGCAAUGGACGCAAGUCUGACCCAGCCAUCCCGCGUGCAGGAUGACGGCCCCAUGGGUUGUAAACUGCUUUUGUACGAGAAGAAAAAGGCCUACGUGUAGGCAACUGACGGUAUCGUACGAAUAAGCAUCGGCUAACUCCGUGCCAGCAGCCGCGGUAAUACGGAGGAUGCAAGCGUUAUCCGGAUUUAUUAGGUUUAAAGGGUGCGCAGGCGGACCUUUAAGUCAGUGGUGAAAUCUUGAGGCUUAACCGUAAAACUGCCAUUGAAACUGAAGGUCUUGAGUACAGUUGAGGUAGGCGGAACGUGUCAUGUAGCGGUGAAAUGCAUAGAGAUGACACAGAACACCGAUUGUGAAGACAGCUUACUAAACUGUUACUGACGCUCAGGCACGAAAGCGUGGGGAGCGAACAGGAUUAGAUACCCUGGUAGUCCACGCCGUAAACGAUGAUCACUCGCUGUUGGCAAUACAUCGUCAGCGGCUGAGCAAAAGCAUUAAGUGAUCCACCUGGGGAGUACGUCGGCAACGAUGAAACUCAAAGGAAUUGACGGGGGCCCGCACAAGCGGAGGAACAUGUGGUUUAAUUCGAUGAUACGCGAGGAACCUUACCUGGGCUUAAAUGAAGGACGACGGUUGCCGAAAGGUGACUUUCUUCGGACGGCCUUCAAGGUGCUGCAUGGUUGUCGUCAGCUCGUGCCGUGAGGUGUCGGGUUAAGUCCCAUAACGAGCGCAACCCCUAUCGUUAGUUGCCAGCGGAUAAUGCCGGGGACUCUAACGAAACUGCCGGUGUAAACCGUGAGGAAGGUGGGGAUGACGUCAAAUCAGCACGGCCCUUAUGUCCAGGGCUACACACGUGUUACAAUGGUAGGUACAAAGGGCAGCUACACGGUGACGUGAUGCUAAUCCCUAAAACCUAUCUCAGUUCGGAUCGAAGUCUGCAAUUCGACUUCGUGAAGCUGGAUUCGCUAGUAAUCGCGCAUCAGCCACGGCGCGGUGAAUACGUUCCCGGGCCUUGUACACACCGCCCGUCAAGCCAUGGAAGCUGGGGGUACCUAAAGUCUGUAACCGCAAGGAGCGGCCUAGGGUAAAACCGGUGACUGGGGCUAAGUCGUAACAAGGUA
RNAcentral lists this ribosomal RNA (1476 nucleotides) under metagenome. Its description in RNAcentral is "bacterial SSU rRNA". It matches the Rfam family "Bacterial small subunit ribosomal RNA". The record is from RNAcentral.